UGGAGAUGGACUGCCACAUCACACUGGGGGACUGACUCAGAGACGGGGAGGAGCAGUGGGCAGGACCCUGCUCACAUGAUAACCCAGGGAAUCUGAUAUGUGAAGAGUUAAGGCAUUGCCAGUGGUCUGGAGGCUGAGUCGUGAUGGAGCUGAGAUUCAAACCCAGGCAUUUUGCUUCAUUGCUCACGUGUUGUCAUCUUGACUACAAAUGAGGAAUCUUGCAGAAGGGGAGAUCAUGAACAAAGUUGGUAGUUUUUGAGAAGCUGCCCUUGAAGACAUGUCUAUGCUGUCUUGCUGUGAUCCCCCUCCCCCAACUUCUUGAGUUGCUUCUCUCUGGGGAGAUACUAAAGGAGCAGAAUUCCAGCUUGGGAGAGAAGUGUAGCCCUCAGCAGCAGCCUGCUCUGUCCUGGACCAGCUAAGUGGAUUCCUCUUUGGGACAGAGAGAAGUCCGGUUUCUAUGACAAUCCAUGGCCGUUCUGCCAAGACUGCCAGCCAGGGUGCCUGGCAGUGCUAAUUGCUAUGCAGACAUCCGUUCAUUAGACUUUGACCUAGAAUUACUAUCAUCUUUCACAAGGUAGGCAAUGAAUCAUUGUUUUUGGCCCUUGCUUUGUCUCCUUCAGCCUAAGUUUGAUUUGGAUCAGAAAUGCAGUCUCUAUAGGCCAUUACCCAUCUCAGCCAGGAAGGUUCCUGAGGUAUAAUUUUGAUAAGGUUUUAUUUGGAACAGGGUAUUAGCUAAUAGUCGAAGAGCUCAGAGGGAAUUGGUUGUAACCCAGCUCUGCCACUCAGUGGCUCUGAGAUCUUGGACAAACUAUUUGAGUCCUUUAAGCCAGUUAUUUCAUCUGUAAAAAGGGGUAACAAUAUUUUCAUCCUCACAGGAUUAGGAUUGCCAUGAGAUAUGGGCAGGGAUGAGGCGGGAAGAGACUCUAAUGCCUGUGCUGGCAUCUGGAAGGAGAACAUGCAACUAAAUGACCGGAUACCUGGAUGGCUGGCACCUGCAUCCCAAUGCUUGCAGCCAGCCACCAUCUAGACCCAAUAGUUCUUCAUUGGGUUCUCCUCAUCCUUAGUAAUUCCGUGUAUUUCCCUUCACCCAUUUCCCUUCCCACGUUUGAGACUACUGAAAAGCUAUGAAGAAACCUAGGACAAACAAGUAGCAAUGUGAAUUCGCAAGUUUUGUUACUUUUCUCAGUAACCAAUAAACAGGAUUCAUUUGGUGUUUUUUAUAUAAUUUUCAUUUUAUACUCUAAUCUUGCUCUUAGAAUUCUGGAGAGAACUACAGAUGCUGAGUGCUUUACUUCGGUUAGCCUAAGAUAAAAUACCCAGGAGGAGGUAAGUUCAGGUGCAUCCUACCUAAAGAAGUAAAACCGAUGACCAAGAAUAAAUAUUUAUUGACAAUCUAAUAUGUGCUGGAUACUCUGGCCAUCGAGACUGUA
Molecule: long non-coding RNA, 1430 nt
Organism: Prionailurus viverrinus (fishing cat)
Lineage: Eukaryota; Metazoa; Chordata; Mammalia; Carnivora; Felidae
Exons: 4
Source: RefSeq, a predicted model, not a curated record